CCAGAGAACUUAGCAGAGAUGCUUUGGUGCCUUCGGGAACUCUGAGACAGGUGCUGCAUGGCUGUCGUCAGCUCGUGUUGUGAAAUGUUGGGUUAAGUCCCGCAACGAGCGCAACCCUUAUCCUUUGUUGCCAGCGGCUCGGCCGGGAACUCAAAGGAGACUGCCGGUGAUAAACCGGAGGAAGGUGGGGAUGACGUCAAGUCAUCAUGGCCCUUACGGCCAGGGCUACACACGUGCUACAAUGGCGCAUACAAAGAGAAGCGACCUCGCGAGAGCAAGCGGACCUCAUAAAGUGCGUCGUAGUCCGGAUUGGAGUCUGCAACUCGACUCCAUGAAGUCGGGAUCGCUAGUAAUCGUAGAUCAGAAUGCUACGGUGAAUACGUUCCCGGGCCUUGUACACACCGCCCGUCACACCAUGGGAGUGGGUUGCAAAAGAAGUAGGUAGCUUAACCUUCGGGAGGGCGCUUACCACUUUGUGAUUCAUGACUGGGGUGAAGUCGUAACAAGGUAAGCGUAGCGAG
RNAcentral lists this ribosomal RNA (521 nucleotides) under uncultured bacterium. RNAcentral's name for it is "bacterial SSU rRNA". It matches the Rfam family "Bacterial small subunit ribosomal RNA", at positions 988 to 1509 of the family's 1533-position model. The record is from RNAcentral.